Chelmon rostratus (copperband butterflyfish) is the source of this 645-nucleotide long non-coding RNA. RefSeq lists it as uncharacterized. NCBI's taxonomy places the organism in Eukaryota, Metazoa, Chordata, Actinopteri, Chaetodontiformes, Chaetodontidae. The record is from RefSeq and is a predicted model, not a curated record. The transcript is spliced from 3 exons.
AAGCAGAUUUUCCAAACCAAUGAGAUAAGGCAGAGCUCUUUGCUUCAGUUUCAGUUUAAAACUGAAACUAAAUUCAGAUCUUUAUAUUCAGUCUGAAUAACACGGCUGUUCCCAGGACACCACUAUUAAGAGAAAGAUAAGGUAUCGAGGAUGGGUUUGGAAGUGAAAGGUUUGCUUUGGGGGAGCUUUGUAUUGCAGGCUUUGAGUGUGUCCACUCCUGCUUUGACCCUCCUGGUAGCUGGCGUUGUCACGGUGGUGGUGGUAUCGAGAAUGGUAGGGGAGGUGCACGCUGAUCAGCGAUAUCAUCAAGAUCGUCAUCAGAAUCAUCGCCCCGAACGUCACCGAUUUGCUCAAAUUGGAAACUAAGCUGGCCUGUGGAUUCAAUGCUUUUGUAAUACUCAUGCUUGCCCUUAUAUCGACAAACAGGAAAGAGCAACCAGCUGACAAGAAAGAAAAAUAAUAACAAGACGAGCUCAGAGGAUGUAGAGACAAAGAAAAUGUUUCAGUUAAUUUACUUUCACUGCGAAAAUCUGACAUUUUGAUAAGCUUGUUUAACCAGACCAAAAUGCUGUGUCUUACUAAAAUGGAAUUAGCUUCUUUUGUUGAAUGGAUAAUUCUGAUUUGAUUAAAAACAAAUGAAAGUAA